UUUAGAUAUGUUGCUGCACUAGACUUUUCACCUUUGAUGGGAGUUCCAUCUACAGUACAGAUUGCUCUUGGAAGAGAAAUGAAUUGCCUAAGUUCUGUUACAGGUUUGUUUGUUUCUGUUGAAAAAGCCAGUUGUUUUCUUAAACAAGUGAUGACUGUAUUAUUAUCUUGAAUUUCUUUUUUCUGUUGACCUAAAGUUAUUUUUGGUGUUGAAAAGGUUUUCAAAUUUCUCUUCUUUCUUGAAACUGUAUUUGUAUUUUGAUUUAGAAUAAUGCAUUUGGUGUAAUUUUCAAAAUCAUCUUCUCCGUAAUGUCUGUAAUUCAAUAAGUCUGAAGCUGCGUCUCUUGGGGCAAUACUUCCGGAGAAUAUAUGAUGUAGUUUAGUAUUUGUGAUAGGUUUAAAGACAGAGGAGUUUUUAAAAAGAUUCAUAUAUUCCUCAAUAUUUUUAUUGCCAUGUAUAAUUGGACUAUCAUUGUCUUCACAGUUGCCAUGUAGUUUUGAUUGUUUUCGGAUAUUGUUUAAAACUUCGGCUCUGAAAGGGAGAAAAAGACAUAAGGAUGCUAGGGACUGCUUGUUAUAAGACGUCAUAGAGUUUUUGAUUUGUAAAUUUAUUUGCAUCUCGUGUGAUUCGUCAAUGGCGACACUGUUGCAUGGACUACCUGUAAUUGAAACUGCAAAGGCACCUUCAGCAAAAUAAUCUAAUAUUUCUGUUGGAAAAUAUUUUAGAUCAGUGAGAUGAUAUGGAACUAAUUUUAAGUACAUAGGUCUGUCAAAUGCAUGAAACAAUGGAGCAAUUUUUUUAAGUGAAGCUACUCUUAGGUUCCAGUUUCUUGAUCUGAUUGCUAUGUAAAGUGAAAAAUAAGACAAAAAAUCAGUGUGUAUAAAGUCAUCCCAAAAUUUAAAUGUUUCAUCUUUUCUUUUUAGGAAGCGCCAUUCAUUAAACUGUGGACUGGUUUCAGAAACUAAAGCUGUCAACUGUGAUAUAGUCAAAAGAUCUGUUGAAGGUGAACCUGUGGAGGAAUAAAACUGUGAUGAUUUUGAAAACACGGA
RNAcentral lists this long non-coding RNA (1049 nucleotides) under Mytilus galloprovincialis (Mediterranean mussel). The record is from RNAcentral. Lineage: Eukaryota; Metazoa; Mollusca; Bivalvia; Mytilida; Mytilidae.